This is a long non-coding RNA of Juglans microcarpa x Juglans regia, 168 nucleotides long. RefSeq lists it as uncharacterized. The record is from RefSeq and is a predicted model, not a curated record. NCBI's taxonomy places the organism in Eukaryota, Viridiplantae, Streptophyta, Magnoliopsida, Fagales, Juglandaceae. The transcript is spliced from 3 exons.
GGUGUAUGAGAUCCUAUAUUACUUGGAAAUGAGAAGUUCUUACCUUUUAUAAGGCUCUAAUAGGGCUCCAAUUGUAUCAUUGACUAGUCCUUUUAGAGUAUAGACUAUGUGGUUUGGACCUUCUAUUGGAACGUUACAUGUACCUACCAAAACUUUGAGAUAGUAGGA